Long non-coding RNA from Hydra vulgaris (swiftwater hydra), 506 nucleotides. RefSeq lists it as uncharacterized. The record is from RefSeq and is a predicted model, not a curated record. NCBI's taxonomy places the organism in Eukaryota, Metazoa, Cnidaria, Hydrozoa, Anthoathecata, Hydridae.
GAAAAAACAAUAUUGAAUAAUUCUAAUGUUUUAAAAUUUAAUUUAUGUUACAAAAUUUAGUGAAUAAAAAUGUUUUAUAUUUAUUAGUUUGCCAUGAUUUCUCUGAUUGAAUCAUGACAAAAUACUUAUUCAGUUCUAACUGUUUAUUAAAUAAGCUUGGGUCUUUAAGGCUUGACCUUGGUGAAUGCAGUAAAAAAUAUUUAAAUAAGAUCUUAUGUGUAAAACACUUCAAUGUGCCUUUUUUAUAUUUUUUUCUUUUUUAGGCCAACUCUCACAUGUUGGCUUUCCGCCAACAUGUGAGAGUUGCAAAAUAUGUUAAGGACUUAAUUCAGAGAUAAUGUUGCUAAACGAUUUACAGUCGAUAAUCUUUCGAAAGCAGAAAAACUCAGUGUCAAACAAAGAAUACGCGAAUUAUUUGAGAUUUGAUUGAAAUUUGCAAAGAAAGUAAAAAUCAAACUAGUUUCAUUCUAAGUUAUUGUAUAUAAUUUUAAAAUUUUGGAAUAGCA